This 465-nucleotide ribosomal RNA is filed under the name uncultured bacterium. Its description in RNAcentral is "partial 16S ribosomal RNA". It matches the Rfam family "Bacterial small subunit ribosomal RNA", at positions 28 to 507 of the family's 1533-position model. The record is from RNAcentral.
GACGAACGCUGGCGGCGUGCUUAACACAUGCAAGUCGAACGGAAAGGCCCUGCUUGCUGGGUACUCGAGUGGCGAACGGGCGAGUAACACGUGGGUGAUCUGCCCUGCACUUUGGGAUAAGCUUGGGCAACUGGGUCUAAUACCGGAUAGCAGCUAUCUCCAGCGUGGUGGUUGGAAAGUUUUUUCGGUGUAGCAUGAGCGGGCGGCCUAUUGGCGUGUUGGUGGGGUAAUGGGCUACCAAGGCGGCGACGGGUAGCUGGACUGGGAGGGUGUACGGCGACCUUGGGACUGAGAGACGGCACAGACUGCGAAGGGAGGCAACAGUGGGGAAGAUUGCACAAGGGGCGCAGGGCUGAUGAAGAAGGGCUGCGGGGGGGAUAAACGUCUUCGUGUUGUAGAAUCCUUUCGCUAGGGAAGAAGCUUUUUGUGACGGUACCUAGAUAAGAAGCACCGGCUAACUACGUG